This 270-nucleotide ribosomal RNA is filed under the name uncultured archaeon. RNAcentral describes it as "partial 16S ribosomal RNA". It matches the Rfam family "Archaeal small subunit ribosomal RNA", at positions 477 to 747 of the family's 1478-position model. The record is from RNAcentral.
CAGCACCUCAAGUGGUCAGGAUGAUUAUUGGGCCUAAAGCAUCCGUAGCCGGCGCUGUAAGUUUUCGGUUAAAUCCAUACGCUCAACGUACAGGCUGCCGGGAAUACUGCAGCGCUAGGGAGUGGGAGAGGUAGACGGUACUCGGUAGGAAGGGGUAAAAUCCUUUGAUCUAUUGAUGACCACCUGUGGCGAAGGCGGUCUACCAGAACACGUCCGACGGUGAGGGAUGAAAGCUGGGGGAGCAAACCGGAUUAGAUACCCGCGUAGUCC